Molecule: long non-coding RNA, 2835 nt
Filed under: Homo sapiens (human)
Lineage: Eukaryota; Metazoa; Chordata; Mammalia; Primates; Hominidae
Description: HEXA antisense RNA 1 (HEXA-AS1)
Source: RNAcentral
CUUUCACUUCCGGCCUGGACCUGAGGCUCCUGCUACGUGCAGCGGAUUGUGCCGGGCGUCGGCAACUGCUCGGCUCGCCAGACUGUUCACGGGCCCAGUAGAGCAGUAAAUAACCGGCCACCCCUGCGGCCGUGCCGGCCGUGAUGGAACUAGACAGCUCACCCGACUCGAGAAGAACGGGGUGGGGAGGCGAGGACGCAGGGCGACCUGGAGAAGAAAGUUUCCCAGAUGGCUCUAGGGUGAAUCUUGAAUGUUGUGAUGCAGCUCGCCAGGCCUACGGGGAGGUAAAGGACUUGCCAGGCUGAAGUAACUUCAGAAGCAGAAAAACGGAGGAUUAAAACCACAAGUCGUUGUGAUGUGAAAUUUCGUGGGGCAAGAAAGGGCCGGAAGUAGGUAGUCUGCACGGCUCUGCUAGAGAGAGGAUCACAAGAUCACACAAAUGUGAUCUACUUAUGACUGGAAAAAAUGUGUACUUUCAGAGCCAGCUUGAGGCAUUCCAUUGCCUCCAAUAUGAGCUCUUCCCUUCAAGAUUGACUAUAAAUCUCUUAGUUACAACUCACAUCCCCUUUCCCCAGACAAAACCCCACAUAGCCCGGUGUGUAUUUACUGAAAGCAGUAAGAUAUUGCUGGGGCUUUGGGUGCAAGAUGGAGAGUGCUCAGAGAUAAUGACAGGGGCCUGGUCCUGCAGGGCCUUACGUAGAAAGUCAAGGAAUUUAUUCUCUGAGCAAUUGAAAAUCAUCCCGAAAGAUCUGCAUUUUAGAAAUACCAUGUUGAGUAGUUGCAUAAGAAACCAGUUAGGAGGCCCCUUUUUAUUGGAGGUAGAGAAUAAUGAGAGACUGAACUACAGAAGUGGGGAAGGAAGACAGCUGUAGAUCCAAGAAAUAGUAUCCGGAAGAGAGGCUUGAGAAGUGAUCAAGGAGAAUUCCACAGUUAUCAGAGACCCUGUCUUCCUUGUUCACCACUAUAUUACCAGAACAUAAUACAAAUAAUGCUAUUGUUAUUGGGUGGCAUUAUUUGGUUAGUAGGUACUUUUUAAAAUUUUUAAAUUUAAUUUUAGUAUUAAAAUACAUGUAAAGAUCAGGAAAAUGAACUUUUAAAAAUAAAGGGCUUUCACUGGGCAUGAUAACACAUCCCUGUAGUCCCAGCUACUCCCAGCUAUUCAGGAGGCUGAGGCGGCAGGAUCACUUGAACCAAGGAGUUCAAGUUUAGCCUGGGCAGUAUAGUGAAACCCUUUCUCAAAAACAAAUAAAGGGCUACUGAAAUAAUGAUAAUUUAUAUUCAGGUCGUAGGUACCUAAUUACUAGUUACACAUACAUGGCUUUGAUGGGAAAUCAAAGAAACAUUCUGACAAUACAGAGAUUCAUCAAGCAAUUUGUCUUUGAAAGUUGAUUAUUCAAAAACAGAGCUUGUAGCAAAAGAAGCAGAAAUUAGAUCCCACAGUCAUCAAGUUUCAGAUCCUAAGGCUUGCAUUCUUACACCAAUUUCUUCUUUGCUUAAAUCUUAAUUUUCAUCAGCAUUAAUUAAGUGUCUGGGUACUCUGCCAGUCAGGAGAGAUGUUACCAAAGGUACAGGAUUUGAGAAGUAUUGUCAGAAGAGCCAAGUUCAUAAUCAGGCCCACAGGAUCAAUAAUUUGGGGGAGUGUUUAGAGCAGUUUCAAAGAUGAGAGCAGUAGAUCAAAGUAGAAUUUCAGGACUGAGCACAUGCCAAGGCACCCUUUUAUGGAUAUUCAACCUGUACCAGAAGGGAGGAGUCAUUUACUUAAAAGAGUUACACAAGAUGAAAGAGCUAGAUCCAAAUAAAGACGCUAUAAAAAUUACUAAUGGGGCUGAGCAUGGUGGAUUACAGGGAUUCAGUUAUUUAAUUAUUACUGAAAGAGCUCUUUUAGACUUAACCAGAUUUUUAAACCAAAUAUUCUUAUGCAUACAUAAAAGUAAGUUACACAAGAUAAAUUUGUUGAUCUUCCAAAAUAUCCCCCCUUACUAUACACUAGAGUGGGGUUUUGGCAUAAUGGCAGACAAAUAGAUGGAACGGAAUAGAGGGUCCAGGAAAAGAGCCAUUUGAUUAUUACUCCAUUUCAAUGAAGACACCAAUUUAAUUUAGUGGGGAAGGCAAGUUAUUUUCAAUAAAAGGUGAUGAAGAAAAUAGAUAUCCCUAUGUGGGAAAAAUGAACUAUGAUCCCCUACCUCACAGCAUACACAAACUUAAUUAAAAAUGGAUCACAGGCUGGGGAUGGUGGCUCACACCUGCAAUUCCAGCACUGUGGAAGGCCAAGAUGGGAGGAUCACUUGAGCCCAGGAGUUCAAGAUCAGCAUGGGUAAUACGAGGAAAUCCCAUCUCUCUUUAUUUUUUUCUUUUUUGAGAUGGGGGUGGUUAAUGGGUACAAAAAAAGUAGCCUGAAUAAGACAUACUAUUCGAGAGCACAAUAGGGUGACUAUAGUCAAUAAUAAUUGUAUAUUUUAAAAGAGUGUAACUGGAUUGUUUAUAACUCAAAGGAUAAAUGAUUGAGGGUAUGGAUAACCCCAUUCUCCAUGAUGUGCUUAUUUCACAUUGGAUGCCUAUAUCAAAACAUCUCAGGUACCCCAUAAAUAUAUACACCUACUAUAUACCAAAAAAACUUAAAAUUAAAAUUAGACUGGGUAUGGUAGCUCAUGCCUUAAUCCCAGCACUUUGGGAGGCAAAAAAAAAAAAAAAAAAAAAAAAAAAAAAAAAAAAAAAAAAAAAAAAAAAAAAAAAAAAAAAAAAAAAAAAAAAAAAAAAAAAAAAAAAAAAAAAAAAAAAAAAAAAAAAAAAAAAAAAAAAAAAAAAAAAAAAAAAAAAAAAAAAAAAAAAAAAAAA